RNAcentral lists this long non-coding RNA (597 nucleotides) under Micromonas pusilla. RNAcentral describes it as "long non-coding RNA (MPUS_LNC000174)". Lineage: Eukaryota; Viridiplantae; Chlorophyta; Mamiellophyceae; Mamiellales; Mamiellaceae. The record is from RNAcentral.
GGGGAGCGUCCACGACCAACUCUCGAGGGAACGCGAGGAGCGGACCGUCGUGCAGCGCGAGCUCGCGGAGAUUCGCGCCAAGUACAACGCCGCGGAGAGUCGCAGGCGGGAGGAGUGCGAGGAGCUCGAGAACAAGCUCGCGGGAGCGAAGGAGAAGCUGAGCGCGAGAGACGCGGAGUGCUCGCACUUGAAGGCGCGUUCUAGUAUCACGCCGGUCCCCAUACGACCCCGUUCGCGUGGUGGACGCCGUUCCUUGAGGACUUUCUCUCCCGGCGUUUCUGUCUGCCCACCACCCCUCGCUUUCAACGAACGACGCUCGACCUCGACGCCUUUCAACUCCACCCCUGACGCCUUUCAACUCCACCCCGACGUCGCCUCGCGCGGAACCUCGACCCCGAAGGCGCAACUGGAAGGCGCGCGGUCCGCGGCGGCGGCGGGGGGCGCAGGGACCGCGGCGGCGAUGCAGCACGCGCACGCGUACGACCCGAACCACGCGGCGACGGCGUCGCAAAUGCAGCGACUGCUCGACCAGGCGAGGGAGGAGCGAAACAACGAGCGAGCGGCGGCGGUGCAGAGAGACGCGGAGAUGGCGCGGCA